Long non-coding RNA from Platichthys flesus (European flounder), 1633 nucleotides. RefSeq lists it as uncharacterized. Lineage: Eukaryota; Metazoa; Chordata; Actinopteri; Pleuronectiformes; Pleuronectidae. The record is from RefSeq and is a predicted model, not a curated record. The transcript is spliced from 4 exons.
UGACUCAAACGACAGAGACGGACUUUAGUCGAGAAGCAGACGUGAAGCCUGAGCUCCGCCGAUUUAUUAACAUUUACCACCGGUUUUGGUUUAAAUCUUUUUUUUAGCUCCAGCUUUUACUUUUACAACAUUAGAUUAACUUUUUAUCCAGAAAGAAGAAUCUAAAUGAGACAAAUCGCUCGGGACGAAAAACGUAUUUUUCCUCCAAAGGUUUUUUUUGGGUCGGAUAUGUGCAUAGAAAUAAUGGAGACUAAUCCUAAACGCGUGAAACCCGACUGCCUGCUUCGUAGGACCGUGAAAUUGGCAUCUAAACCGAGGUGGAGGCAGCUGGGGGCGGACGAGGCCUCCAAGCCAAGCCGGGCCUCAAUCCGGAAACCACUCAAGCGCGAGCAGAAGCGGGCCCAUCUGGUUGAGCUCGCCCGAGUCCUGAGGCCCAACAUCGGGAAGAAGGGCAAGGAAACGUCGAUGUGUGAGCAGAGAACCGCCGCGGCCUACGACCGCAGACACCCGGGAACAAUGGCGCCGCCGAACACCACCCAGUUCCUGAUGAGUAACGCCGAGGAGGACAUGAGGAGCAGAAACAUCCAGGCAGAUGCGGCCUCCACGGAGACAUGGUCGUGUCUGUACAGCGAGUCCAUGUCCCCCAGCAGCGUGUACGCGGCCCUGGACUCUGCCUACGAGAGCUGCGUCGAUUUCCAGAUCCGGGACUUUGAGGAAAUGUUCGCCCCGACCUGGUGAACGGCAUCGAACGGUCUCCGCGGCCUUGUGGCACCGAUCUGACCUCCUGUCCACUAGUGACAGUUACACAAAAGACAACUAUGAAGCGACGCACUGGAACGCUGCCCGCCCACUAGGGAGCGCUCCCGAGCUCCGGAUGGAACCGAUCCGAAUCCCACCCGGGACGAACCGGGUCUACGUGGACCCGAUCCGACCUCCUCAGAGCCCACUGACAUGUACUUAGGACAAACAUGAAGCGACGCACUUGGACGCUGCCCCACCACUUGGGAGCGCUACCGAGCCGUGCGUCGUCCAGAGGAACGAACCAAGCGCUCUCCCCGGGGGGCGACCCUGUCUACGUGGAACUGAUCCCCGACCAGCUCACACCCACUGACAUUUACAUAGGCCUGACGUGAAGCGGCGCACUGGCGCUGCCCGCCCGCUAGGGAGCGCUCCUGAGCCUUGCGCCGUCCAGAGGAACGAAACCCAAACGCACCCGAGCUCUGCUCCGGCCACGGAUUGUGAAUAAUCCAGGUAAACCCGGGCAGGUAUCGUUGUUGCACCGACCACACCAUUAGUGGAACUGAAAUGUGUUGGCGAUGAGUGGGAAGUGUUGCUUUCCACAGUCACUGUUGUCUGAGCGUUUUCCAGAUCCCCUCCCCCCCACUCUCCCGCUGCCAGGGCACGUGACUCCGCUGCGAGCAGGAGGCAGGACACCGGAGAGAUCAGUCUGCACGUGACUGACAUGAGGUGACAUUCACUGUCCGUUGAUUGUUGACUUGUUUCCAGGGAAAGCCCAAAGGUCAAACUCUAAUCUUGUUUAUAUGUCGAGGGUUGACAAACUGUAUUUAUUCUGUAAGAUAAGAGAAUUUAUGAUGAGAGUGUUUUUAAUUAAACGAGGUUUGAAACUAUUAAA